AUGCCUCAGCAACAAGGCCAUCAAACUCAAACAAAUGAAGUACAAUUUCGAGGGAUUGAAUUCUUGCAGCGGGAUCCAGCACUACGUCCACAGAUUUGGCAAUAUCCACCUAAUCAAAGAGAUGAUGUGCGGCGAGCAUAUUUGAAGCUUGGUAUUAUGCAGCCCCGCUUGAAGGAUUACAAAGCUUACGGUCCAGAAGGUCGCAAACGACGCUUUAAAUAUGACUGGUUCAAGGAUUUCCCAUCAUGGUUGGAGUACUCGGAGGACAGUCAUCGUGCAUAUUGCUUCUAUUGUUUCUUGUUCAGCAACAAUAAAAACAAGCGAGGUGGUUCAGAUGUCUUUACAGUGCGAGGAUUUGUAAAUUGGAAGAAGGUCCAUGAUGGAAAGAAAUGUGCAUUCUUAAACCAUAUAGGUUCUGAACCUUGCUCUGUACAUAAUAAUGCAACCAAAGCAUAUCAUGACUUCUUGAAUCAGCAAGGCCAUUUAGAAAAUGUUGUAGCAGUGGGCAACCUCCUUGCAGAAUUCAAUCCUGAGAUUGCUGAAGUUAUUUUGGAGAAUGCUCCAUACAGUUCAAAGUACACAUCACAUGAAAUCCAACAAGAGAUAUUGGGUAUUUAUGCAUUUAAAGUUAGGAAACAUAUCCGUGAAGAGAUUGGGAAUUCUAAGUUUUCUAUUCUAGUGGACGAGACAUGUGAUGUAGCAAAAAGAGAGCAGAUGGCAUUGGUUCUCAGAUUCGUUGAUGAAGAUCGUAUAUUGCAAGAGCGGUUCUUUGACUUGAUACAUGUGACGAACACCAAAGCCGCAACACUUAAAGAGGUAUUGAGUUCUUUGUUAUCCAAACAUGCUUUUGAUGUUCAGAACCUUCGUGGACAGGGGUACGAUGGGGCUAGUAAUAUGAGGGGGGAGUUCAAUGGUUUGCAAGCUCUUUUUCUUAGAGAAUGCCCGUAUGCGUACUAUGUCCACUGCUAUGCUCAUCGUUUGCAACUUGCGCUAGUGGCUGCAUCAAAGGAAGUGGUCUCUAUUGCGCAAUUCUUCCAGAAACUUCUUUUUAUUGUAAACACCGUUGACUCCUCCGCAAAGCGCCAUGAUGAGCUUCAUGAUGCCCAGUUGGAGGAACUAGCUCGGUUACUAGCUAUUGAUGACAUUGAAACUGGAAAAGGGGGAAAUCAAAUCUGCACACUAAAACGACCUGGAGACACUAGAUGGGGGUCUCACUUAGGUUCUAUAUCAAGCCUAAAGAAAAUGUUUAAUGCAGUAAAUUCAGUACUUCAAAAUAUAGCAUCCGAUGGGUCAGCUGGCUCAAUUCGUGCAGAUGGAGACACUGCUUUUAGCUACUUGUCCUCUUUUGAGUUCAUAUUUAUCUUAUGUCUAAUGGAAGAAAUAUUGGAGAUAACUGAAGAUCUUGGUCAAGCUUUGCAAAAGAAAUCACAGGACAUAGUAAAUGCCAUGCGCCUAGUGUUUACAACAAAGGUUCUUCUUGAUGAAAUGAGAUCAGAUGAUGGUUGGGAAGCCUUUUUUGAUAGGGUUGUUGAGUUCUGUGUAAAUCAUUCCAUUGAUAUUCCAAAUCUGGGGGAAACUUACAUUAUGCGUGGUGGUCGUGCUCGUCGCCAACCAGACCGUUUUACGAAGGAACAUUAUUUCCGGGUGGAAGUAUUUCGUGCAACACUUGAUACUCAGCUACAUGAAUUAGAAUUCAGGUUCAAUGACAAGGUACUGGAUCUUUUGACCACAAGUGCUACUCUGAUCCCCAAAAAUAAAUUCAGUUCUUUCAAAGCUGCAAGUGCCGAGCGAGCAUUCUCUACUUUGAAGAUCAUCAAGACAAGGCUACGUAAUACUAUGGAAGAUGAUUAUCUAGCCAAUAGCUUGCUAGUAAACAUAGAGAGUGAAAUUGUGGAGAAGUACAGCUAUGAAGAUGUUCUUGUGCACUUUAAGGGUGUAAAGAAACGAAGGGCUGAUCUGUAG
Molecule: ribosomal RNA, 1962 nt
Filed under: Triticum aestivum (bread wheat)
Lineage: Eukaryota; Viridiplantae; Streptophyta; Magnoliopsida; Poales; Poaceae
Description: partial small subunit ribosomal RNA
Source: RNAcentral